AGUGAACGCUGGCGGUAGGCCUAACACAUGCAAGUCGAACGGCAGCACAGUAAGAGCUUGCUCUUACGGGUGGCGAGUGGCGGACGGUUGAGGAAUACAUCGGAAUCUACUUUUUCGUGGGGGAUAACGUAGGGAAACUUACGCUAAUACCGCAUACGACCUACGGGUGAAAGCAGGGGAUCUUCUGACCUUGCGCGAUUGAAUGAGCCGAUGUCGGAUUAGCUAGUUGGCGGGGUAAAGGCCCACCAAGGCGACGAUCCGUAGCUGGUCUGAGAGGAUGAUCAGCCACACGGGAACUGAGAAAGGGUCCAGACUCCUACGGGAGGCAGCAGUGGGGAAUAUUGGACAAUGGGGGAAAGCCUGAUCCAGCCAUACCGCGUGGGUGAAGAAGGACUUCGGGUUGUAAAGCCCUUUUGUUGGGAAAGAAAAGCAGCAGGUUAAUACCCCGCUGUUCUGACGGUACCCAAAGAAUAAGCACCGGCUAACUUCGCG
Molecule: ribosomal RNA, 492 nt
Filed under: uncultured bacterium
Lineage: Bacteria
Description: partial 16S ribosomal RNA
Rfam family: Bacterial small subunit ribosomal RNA
Source: RNAcentral